CAUGCAGUCGAGCGGAGAUGAGGUGCUUGCACCUUAUCUUAGCGGCGGACGGGUGAGUAAUGCUUAGGAAUCUGCCUAUUAGUGGGGGACAACAUUUCGAAAGGAAUGCUAAUACCGCAUACGCCCUACGGGGGAAAGCAGGGGAUCUUCGGACCUUGCGCUAAUAGAUGAGCCUAAGUCGGAUUAGCUAGUUGGUGGGGUAAAGGCCUACCAAGGCGACGAUCUGUAGCGGGUCUGAGAGGAUGAUCCGCCACACUGGGACUGAGACACGGCCCAGACUCCUACGGGAGGCAGCAGUGGGGAAUAUUGGACAAUGGGGGGAACCCUGAUCCAGCCAUGCCGCGUGUGUGAAGAAGGCCUUUUGGUUGUAAAGCACUUUAAGCGAGGAGGAGGAGCUCUAGAUUAAUACUCUAGAUGCUUGGACGUUACUCGCAGAAUAAGCACCGGCUAACUCUGUGCCAGCAGCCGCGGUAAUACAGAGGGUGCAAGCGUUAAUCGGAUUUACUGGGCGUAAAGCGUGCGUAGGUGGUCUUUUAAGUCGGAUGUGAAAUCCCUGAGCUUAACUUAGGAAUUGCAUUCGAUACUGGGAGACUAGAGUAUGGGAGAGGAUGGUAGAAUUCCAGGUGUAGCGGUGAAAUGCGUAGAGAUCUGGAGGAAUACCGAUGGCGAAAGCAGCCAUCUGGCCUAAUACUGACACUGAGGUACGAAAGCAUGGGGAGCAAACAGGAUUAGAUACCCUGGUAGUCCAUGCCGUAACGAUGUCUACUAGCCGUUGGGGUC
Molecule: ribosomal RNA, 780 nt
Filed under: Acinetobacter sp.
Lineage: Bacteria; Pseudomonadati; Pseudomonadota; Gammaproteobacteria; Moraxellales; Moraxellaceae
Description: bacterial SSU rRNA
Rfam family: Bacterial small subunit ribosomal RNA
Source: RNAcentral